This 217-nucleotide ribosomal RNA is filed under the name uncultured bacterium. RNAcentral's name for it is "partial 16S ribosomal RNA". It matches the Rfam family "Bacterial small subunit ribosomal RNA", at positions 123 to 334 of the family's 1533-position model. The record is from RNAcentral.
UACCGUCCCCUCGAAGUGAGGGAUACCGGCGAGAAAUCGCCGACAAUACCGCAUAGGCUCUCUUUCGCGAGAGGGAGAGCAAAGCUUCCGCAAGGGAGACGCUUUGGGAUGGGCCUGUGGCCGAUUAGCUAGCUGGUGGGGUAACGGCUCACCAGGGCGACGAUCGGUAGCUGGUCUGAGAGGACGAUCAGCCACACUGGGAUUGAGAACGGCCCAG